RNAcentral lists this small nuclear RNA (81 nucleotides) under Mustela putorius furo (domestic ferret). RNAcentral's name for it is "U4 spliceosomal RNA". It matches the Rfam family "U4 spliceosomal RNA", at positions 1 to 81 of the family's 138-position model. Rfam says of the family: U4 small nuclear RNA (U4 snRNA) is a component of the major U2-dependent spliceosome. The structure of U4 snRNA from yeast and human has been reported. U4 snRNA presents a k-turn RNA motif in the 5p-SL related to recognition of Snu13 protein. Lineage: Eukaryota; Metazoa; Chordata; Mammalia; Carnivora; Mustelidae. The record is from Rfam by way of RNAcentral.
AGCUUUGCACAGUGGCAGUAUUGUAGCCAAUGAGGUUUAUCCAAGGCGCGAUUAUUGCUAAUUGAAAACAACCCUGAGAUC